Molecule: ribosomal RNA, 440 nt
Filed under: uncultured bacterium
Lineage: Bacteria
Description: partial 16S ribosomal RNA
Rfam family: Bacterial small subunit ribosomal RNA
Source: RNAcentral
CCUACGGGAGGCAGCAGUGGGGAAUAUUGGACAAUGGGGGGAACCCUGAUCCAGCGACGCCGCGUGAGUGAAGAAGGCUUUCGGUAUGUAAAGCUCUAUCAGCGGGGAAGAAAAUUACGGUACCUGACUAAGAAGCCCCGGCUAACUACGUGACAGCAGCCGCGGUAAUACGUAGGGGGCAAGCGUUAGCCGGAUUGACUGGGUGUAAGGGGAGUGCAGACGGUGGAGCAAGACGGAUGUGAAGGCUCCGGGCCUAACCGGGGGAAGGCAUACGUGACUGUAGAACUGGAGUACAGCAGAGGGAGGCGGAAUUCCGAGUGUAGCGGUGAAAUGCGUAGAUAUUUGGAGGAACACCGGUGGCGAAGGCGGCCCACUGGAACGCAACUGACGCUCAUACACGAAAGCGUGGGGAGCAAACAGGAUUAGAUACCCGAGUAGUC